AGAAGAUCAAGGAUCAGAAGACAUGAAGACUACCUUCAGUCCUCAUGGACCUUUCUGAAUGAUUGAUUAGGGCAAGCUUUUUGUCUAGGAGAUAGAAAACAAAAAUCCAAAAGAAACAAGAAGAAAGGGAAAGAAAAGAAAAAGAAACCCUAGAUCUUGCACAGAGGUCCGAGAGCAAGCUCCAUCAAUCAUUGGGAAACCCAGAAGAGAGAGAAAACGGUUUUCGCAAAGGAUCAUGAAACGUGUCG
This 248-nucleotide unclassified non-coding RNA is filed under the name Hevea brasiliensis (rubber tree). The record is from RNAcentral. Lineage: Eukaryota; Viridiplantae; Streptophyta; Magnoliopsida; Malpighiales; Euphorbiaceae.